Molecule: small nucleolar RNA, 127 nt
Organism: Hippopotamus amphibius kiboko
Lineage: Eukaryota; Metazoa; Chordata; Mammalia; Artiodactyla; Hippopotamidae
Product: small nucleolar RNA SNORA25
Exons: 1
Source: RefSeq, a predicted model, not a curated record
AGGUCACUUCAGAAAGGGCUUGGGGGACCAAAAUCAGAAGCUCUUCAUGCUGUGACCAAAGACUGAAGUUCUACAAAGGAUGUGAUAGUCACUCAAUUGUGCUGUGUUUCCCAGAGGAGAUAGAAGC